GACGAACGCUGGCGGCGUGCUUAACACAUGCAAGUCGAACGGUAAGGCUCCAGCUUGCUGGGGUACACGAGUGGCGAACGGGUGAGUAACACGUGGGUGACCUGCCCUGCACUUCGGGAUAAGCCUGGGAAACUGGGUCUAAUACCGGAUAGGACCAUGGUGUGGAUACUGUGGUGGAAAGUUUUUUCGGUGUGGGAUGGGCCCGCGGCCUAUCAGCUUGUUGGUGGGGUAAUGGCCUACCAAGGCGGCGACGGGUAGCCGGCCUGAGAGGGUGGACGGCCACAUUGGGACUGAGACACGGCCCAGACGCCUACGGGAGGCAGCAGUGGGGAAUAUUGCACAAUGGGCGGAAGCCUGAUGCAGCGACGCCGCGUGGGGGAUGACGGCCUUCGGGUUGUAAACUCCUUUCACCAUCGACGAAGGGUUUCUGACGGUAGAUGGAGAAGAAGCACCGGCGAACUACGU
Molecule: ribosomal RNA, 465 nt
Filed under: uncultured bacterium
Lineage: Bacteria
Description: partial 16S ribosomal RNA
Rfam family: Bacterial small subunit ribosomal RNA
Source: RNAcentral